RNAcentral lists this unclassified non-coding RNA (266 nucleotides) under Hevea brasiliensis (rubber tree). The record is from RNAcentral. Lineage: Eukaryota; Viridiplantae; Streptophyta; Magnoliopsida; Malpighiales; Euphorbiaceae.
UAAUAAUAAUAAUAAUAAUUCAAGGAUCAUUAUUCUAUUUAGACAUCAAAAUAAACAAACGAAUAAACUUAAUCUGUUCAAAUCACCAAGGAAGAACAUUAUGUAAAAGUGUAUUGUAAUUCAUUACCCAGGCCACUAUCCAUAAGCAAUAGAGACUGAAGGCAAAUGAAAGCCUUCUGAACUCAAUUCUUGAUGAUUAUAUAAACUCAUUUCGACUGUUAAUAUGCUCAGCACGUCGGAUACAAAAUAAAUAAUAAUAAUAAUAA